UCCUCCCUCUGGCGGCGUGCCUAAUACAUGCAAGUCGAGCGGACGGAUGGGAGCUUGCUCCCAGACCGUCAGCGGCGGACGGGUGAGUAACACGUGGGCAACCUGCCUGUAAGACUGGGAUAACUCCGGGAAACCGGGGCUAAUACCGGAUAACUCUUUCCCUCACAUGAGGGAAAGCUGAAAGAUGGCAUCUCGCUAUCACUUACAGAUGGGCCCGCGGCGCAUUAGCUAGUUGGUGAGGUAACGGCUCACCAAGGCGACGAUGCGUAGCCGACCUGAGAGGGUGAUCGGCCACACUGGGACUGAGACACGGCCCAGACUCCUACGGGAGGCAGCAGUAGGGAAUCUUCCGCAAUGGACGAAAGUCUGACGGAGCAACGCCGCGUGAGUGAUGAAGGUUUUCGGAUCGUAAAACUCUGUUGCCAGGGAAGAACAAGUACCGGAGUAACUGCCGGUACCUUGACGGUACCUGACCAGAAAGCCACGGCUAACUACGUG
RNAcentral lists this ribosomal RNA (498 nucleotides) under uncultured bacterium. RNAcentral describes it as "partial 16S ribosomal RNA". It matches the Rfam family "Bacterial small subunit ribosomal RNA", at positions 36 to 507 of the family's 1533-position model. The record is from RNAcentral.